This 20-nucleotide microRNA is filed under the name Mus musculus (house mouse). RNAcentral describes it as "mmu-miR-12189-3p". The record is from miRBase by way of RNAcentral. Lineage: Eukaryota; Metazoa; Chordata; Mammalia; Rodentia; Muridae.
AUGGCCUGUACUCUCACACU